Molecule: long non-coding RNA, 529 nt
Filed under: Rattus norvegicus (Norway rat)
Lineage: Eukaryota; Metazoa; Chordata; Mammalia; Rodentia; Muridae
Description: long non-coding RNA NONRATT006896
Source: RNAcentral
CCCAUGACAUCUUGGAGCUGAGGUGAAGGAAUCUUACAAGGAAUCUUGGUGUAAAAGACCCCCUUCCCAUUUCUUACUUAUUUCAAAUCAGUUAGAACCAAAUCCAACUGGUUGUAUGGUCCAGUUGUAACAUCCACUCGACACGAAUGUGCAAAGGACCCCAGAGUCAAGCCAGAGAAAGGACUGGAAGAGCUUGAAGGGGCUCGAGAUCCCAUAUGAACAACAACGCCAAGCAACCAGAGCUUCCAGGGACUAAGCCACUACCUAAAGACUAUACAUGGACUGACCCUGGGCUCCAACCUCAUAGGUAGCAAUGAAUAUCCUAGUAAGGGCACCAGUGGAAGGGGAAGCCCUGGGUCCUGCCAAGACUGAACCCCCAGUGAACGUGAUUGUUGGGGGGAGGGCGGUAAUGGGGGGAGGAUGGGGAGGGGUUAGGGGGAUGUUGGCCCGGAAACCGGGAAGGGGAAUAACAAUCGAAAUGUAAAUAAGAAAUACUCAAGUUAAUAAAGAUAAAAAAAAAGAAAAAAAA